AGGAUGAACGCCGGCGGCGUGCUUAACACAUGCAAGUCGAACGAUGAUCCCAGCUUGCUGGGGGAUUAGUGGCGAACGGGUGAGUAACACGUGAGUAACCUGCCCUUGACUCUGGGAUAAGCCUGGGAAACUGGGUCUAAUACUGGAUAUGACCUUCUGGCGCAUGCCAUGUUGGUGGAAAGCUUUAUUGCGGUUUUGGAUGGACUCGCGGCCUAUCAGCUUGUUGGUGGGGUAAUGGCCUACCAAGGCGACGACGGGUAGCCGGCCUGAGAGGGUGGACGGCCACACUGGGACUGAGACGCGGCCCAGACUCCGUACGGGAGGCAGCAGUGGGGAAUAUUGCACAAUGGGCGCAAGCCUGAUGCAGCGACGGCCGGCGGUGGGGGAUGGAAGGUCCGUUCGGGUUACGUAAACCUUCGUUUACGAGGUUAAGGGAACGAAGGACGGAAAGUGAACCGGUACCUGACGAAGAAAGAACGCGCCGGACUAACGUACCGUGCCAGCCAGCCCGGACGUAAUCGUAGA
Molecule: ribosomal RNA, 525 nt
Filed under: uncultured soil bacterium
Lineage: Bacteria
Description: bacterial SSU rRNA
Rfam family: Bacterial small subunit ribosomal RNA (bases 15-376)
Source: RNAcentral